This 668-nucleotide ribosomal RNA is filed under the name uncultured bacterium. RNAcentral describes it as "bacterial SSU rRNA". It matches the Rfam family "Bacterial small subunit ribosomal RNA", at positions 60 to 716 of the family's 1533-position model. The record is from RNAcentral.
AGUCGAGGGGCAGCAUUUUAGUUUGCUUGCAAACUAAAGAUGGCGACCGGCGCACGGGUGAGUAACACGUAUCCAACCUGCCGAUAACUCGGGGAUAGCCUUUCGAAAGAAAGAUUAAUAUCCGAUAGUAUAUUAAAACCGCAUGGUUUUACUAUUAAAGAAUUUCGGUUAUCGAUGGGGAUGCGUUCCAUUAGUUUGUUGGCGGGGUAACGGCCCACCAAGACUACGAUGGAUAGGGGUUCUGAGAGGAAGGUCCCCCACAUUGGAACUGAGACACGGUCCAAACUCCUACGGGAGGCAGCAGUGAGGAAUAUUGGUCAAUGGACGAGAGUCUGAACCAGCCAAGUAGCGUGAAGGAUGACUGCCCUAUGGGUUGUAAACUUCUUUUAUAUGGGAAUAAAGUAUUCCACGUGUGGGAUUUUGUAUGUACCAUAUGAAUAAGGAUCGGCUAACUCCGUGCCAGCAGCCGCGGUAAUACGGAGGAUCCGAGCGUUAUCCGGAUUUAUUGGGUUUAAAGGGAGCGUAGGUGGAUUGUUAAGUCAGUUGUGAAAGUUUGCGGCUCAACCGUAAAAUUGCAGUUGAAACUGGCAGUCUUGAGUACAGUAGAGGUGGGCGGAAUUCGUGGUGUAGCGGUGAAAUGCUUAGAUAUCACGAAGAACUCCGAUUGC